ACGGAAGGCAGCAGUGGGGAAUAUUGCACAAUGGGGGGAACCCUGAUGCAGCGACGCCGCGUGGAGGAAGAAGGUAUUCGUAUUGUAAACUCCUGUCGCAGAGGACGAUAAUGACGGUACUCUGUAAGAAAGCACCGGCUAACUACGUGCCAGCAGCCGCGGUAAAACGUAGGGUGCAAGCGUUGUCCGGAAUUUCUGGGUGUAAAGGGAGCGCAGGCGGUCUUGCAAGUUGGAUGUUAAAUCUACGGGCUCAACCCGUACACGCAUUCAAAACUGUGAGACUUGAGUGAAGUAGAGGUAGGCGGAAUUUCCGGUGUAGCGGUGGAAUGCGUAGAUAUCGGAAGGAACACCAGUGGCGAAGGCGGCCUACUGGGCUUUAACUGACGCUGAGGCUCGAAAGCAUGGGUAGCAAACAGGAUUAGAUACCCUGGUA
This is a ribosomal RNA of 433 nucleotides. It matches the Rfam family "Bacterial small subunit ribosomal RNA", at positions 341 to 792 of the family's 1533-position model.